RNAcentral lists this ribosomal RNA (462 nucleotides) under Lancefieldella rimae. RNAcentral describes it as "bacterial SSU rRNA". It matches the Rfam family "Bacterial small subunit ribosomal RNA", at positions 28 to 500 of the family's 1533-position model. The record is from RNAcentral. Lineage: Bacteria; Bacillati; Actinomycetota; Coriobacteriia; Coriobacteriales; Atopobiaceae.
GAUGAACGCUGGCGGCGCGCCUAACACAUGCAAGUCGAACGGUUAAAGCACCUUUUAGGUGUGUAUAAAGUGGCGAACGGCUGAGUAACACGUGGGCAACCUGCCCUCCUCUUGGGGAUAGCCUCGGGAAACCGAGGAUAAUACCCGAUACUUCAAUGUGGCCGCAUGACGACAUUGAGAAAGCUUUUGCGGAGAAGGAUGGGCCCGCGGCCUGUUAGCUUGUUGGUGGGGUAGAGGCCUACCAAGGCAAUGAUGGGUAGCUGGGUUGAGAGACCGACCAGCCAGAUUGGGACUGAGACACGGCCCAGACUCCUACGGGAGGCAGCAGUGGGGAAUCUUGCACAAUGGGCGAAAGCCUGAUGCAGCGACGCCGCGUGCGGGACGAAGGCCUUUCGGGUUGUAAACCGCUUUUCAGCAGGGACGAGGCGAAAGUGACGGUACCUGCAGAAGAAGCCCCGCUAA